Long non-coding RNA from Mus musculus (house mouse), 2630 nucleotides. RefSeq annotates it as predicted gene, 40166. The transcript is spliced from 3 exons. The record is from RefSeq and is a predicted model, not a curated record. Lineage: Eukaryota; Metazoa; Chordata; Mammalia; Rodentia; Muridae.
CAUGAAAGGUGAAGGAAUGGCUGUGAGCUCUCUGAGCUGGAGGCAGCUAGAAUGAGCACAAGGUCACCUGUGUGUCAGAACAAAGUAUCUGUCAAGAGAGGCGAGGAAAGGCUCAGCUUCUUGACGUUUGGCAAAUGAGCUGGGGUAUCUCACAGCAGCAGUUGCUGCUUGAGAUCAAGUCACAUCAUUCAAGAUGACAGACAGUAAGCCUUCUACCUAAGUCACUCAGCACCCUGAGCCAGAACCUCAACUCUUCACAAAGCCACAACCCUGAAAGCAAACGUCACUGUACACUCUCUCUUCAGAAAGACAUUAGCCUGCACAUAAGUCUAUGCACUGUGUGCCUGCCUGGUGCCCAUGAAGCCAGAAGAGGGUUAGGUACCCUGGAAUUACAGACACUGGUGAGCCACCGUGCGGUUACUGUGAAUCAAGUCCAAGUUCUCGGCAAGAGCAGCUCGUCCUCUUAGCUGCUAAACCGCCUCUCUAGCCCUCAGAGACUUAUUUUAACUCUGUGUGUGUGUGUGUGUGUGUGUGUGUGUGUGUACAUGAGUGCAGGUUCAGAAGGGCUGGCUCCCCUGGAGCUGGAGUGACAGGCAGAGAUGGGUGCUGGGAAUAGAACUUGGGUCUUCUGGUAGAGUAGCAAGAACUCUUAGCCCUCUCUCUAGCUCCCCAAAAUACAAUUCUCACAGUGUAUGGUGGUGCAGUACUUUGGAAGUGGAGGCAGAAGGAUCAGGAGUUCAAGACCAGCCUUAGCUAACUACCUAGUUUUUUUUUUUAAAAACAAACAAACAAACAAACAAACAAACCAAAAAACCCCACACAAUUCCAAAUACCCUGCAGAAAGCUUUUAGGUCACAGGACACCUUUAUUUUGUAUUACUAUCACUUGGUUAUUGUGUUGUGUGUGCACAAGUGUGUAGCUAUCCAUGUGUGGAGGUCACAAACUCCUUUUCUCCCUCCACCAGGUAGGUCCCAGGGAUCAAACUCAGAUCAACAGCCUUUACCUGCUGAGCCAUCUUGCUGUCCCAAAAAACCUUUCUUCCUUUUUUAAGAAAAAAAAAAAAAAAAAUUUUUUUUUUUUUUUUUUGGUUUUUCGAGACAGGGUUUCUCUGUAUAGCCCUGGCUGUCCUGGAACUCACUUUGUAGACCAGGCUGGCCUCGAACUCAGAAAUCCACCUGCCUCGGCCUCCCGAGUGCUGGGAUUAAAGGUGUGCGCCACCACGCCAGGCUUAAUUUUUUUUUUUUUUUUAAUUUCCUGUGCACUGAUGUUUUACUGCAUGUCUGUCUGUGUGGCGGUGUCAGGUCCCCUGGAACUGGAGUCACAGACAACCGUGAGCUGCCGUGUGGGUGCUGGGAACUGAAGGUGGAUCCUCUGGAAGAGCAGCCAGUGCUCUUAACCUUUGAGCCAUGCUCCAGCCCCCAGGAAAUCUCUCUUAAAAGAAACCUUUCUAAACUUUUAUAUAAAUAGUAUCAUUGCUAAAAACAAAAGUCUUUAUCUAUCUGUUUUAUGUAUCUUUCAGAAAAUAAACUAAAAUAUAACACCGCUUGAGCUCUUUAGUUUAAUAUGACAUUGAAAAGUAUCUGCGUAAUGAUUAACUUUAAAUUCUAUGGAAUCUCCCAGCUGUCUACACAUGGCUAGGGUGGGGUAGAAAAGGAAAUGGAGACCCUUAGGAAUAAAAUGUAGUUGUCUGAAAGUUGGACUGUCACGUAAACACUUUGCUCCAAAGAGACAACAUAGAGACAGAUUCCUGUCUGAACUGAAGUUCUUUCAGCUUACACAUCCUGCUUCUGGGUACCAUUUUCAAACUGUGUUACAAAUUACAAGAAGUUAUCUCUUCUCCAGGCUGCCUUUGCCAUCCUGUCUUUGAUGAAUGGAAGGAUGUCUGUGCAGUUGAGAGCACUGGCUGCUCUUCCACAGGGACUUGGUUCAACUCCUAGCACCCAGAUAGCUACUCACCAUUGUCUACAAGUCUAGUUCUGGGGCAUCCAACACACUCUUCAGGCCUCUGUGCCCCAGGCACACAUCAUGCAGGCAAAAUACUCAUAUACAUAAAUAGUAAAAAAACAAAACAAAAUGUGGACGUGGACACGCGUUCUUAUCUGUAGGAGCUCUCCGCAUCUGGAGUGCAGCCCCGGAGUAAAGAGGCAAGUGUGAUCACACGCCAAGUAGGACUGAUGGUAGGGAGUAAGCACGGGGUUAAACAUGGAUGUGAAGCCAGACCCUGGAAUCCACUGUUGAACUGCCCCAGAAUUUCAAAGCAUGCAGAAAUUCCUGUUAAAGAGCUGAGCCUUUCUGUGUCAUCAGCUUCUCCUGACAAGUCACUGUAAAGAAAAUCUAGUCCUUUCCAGCCCUAAAGCCCACACACUUCACAACGUAAACUGCAGAUCUGUGUAGCAUGCUCUCAAAUCACAGCAACGAAAGUUAAGACAGGAAACACACUCCAAAAUAAUGAUGGCGGUGAUGGUGGUGGUGGUGAUGAUGAUGGUGACGAUGUAACGCAGGGCCGGGGAAAUAUCUAAAUCUUUUCUCCCCACUUAGCCUUACCUUGAAUUCCUUUUCCCAAGACCUAACAACCAAUCAAUAAAGGAAAAAGCAGAGAAACAGUACAAUACCUGACAACCCCUCUUUUC